Molecule: ribosomal RNA, 466 nt
Filed under: uncultured bacterium
Lineage: Bacteria
Description: partial 16S ribosomal RNA
Rfam family: Bacterial small subunit ribosomal RNA
Source: RNAcentral
ACGAACGCUGGCGGCGUGCUUAACACAUGCAAGUCGAACGGAAAGGCCCUGCUUUUGUGGGGUGCUCGCGUGGCGAACGGGUGAGUAACACGUGAGUAACCUGCCCUUGACUUUGGGAUAACUUCAGGAAACUGGGGCUAAUACCGGAUAGGAGCUCCUGCUGCAUGGUGGGGGUUGGAAAGUUUCGGCGGUUGGGGAUGGACUCGCGGCUUAUCAGCUUGUUGGUGGGGUAGUGGCUUACCAAGGCUUUGACGGGUAGCCGGCCUGAGAGGGUGACCGGCCACAUUGGGACUGAGAUACGGCCCAGACGCCUACGGGAGGCAGCAGUGGGGAAUAUUGCACAAUGGGCGGAAGCCUGAUGCAGCAACGCCGCGUGCGGGAUGACGGCCUUCGGGUUGUAAACCGCUUUCGCCUGUGACGAAGCGUGAGGGACGGUAAUGGGUAAAGAAGCACCGGCUAACUACGU